Molecule: long non-coding RNA, 1277 nt
Organism: Zonotrichia leucophrys gambelii
Lineage: Eukaryota; Metazoa; Chordata; Aves; Passeriformes; Passerellidae
Exons: 6
Source: RefSeq, a predicted model, not a curated record
GCCUCUCCCGCGGGCUCUGAAUUCGGGCACGGCAGGGAUCCCUGGAGCAGAUCCCGCCCUUCUGGCGGCCGGCCCGGAGCUUCGCUGAGGGCGCGGCGCUGCCGGGGCCGGGCCGAGCCCUGCCCGGGCCGGGCCCCGCAGCCCCCGAGGCUGCCCGGCUGCCGCAGCAGGAGCUGCUGCCGCUGCCCGGGGCUGCUCCGGCCCCGCAGGAGCUCUCGGGAGCCCCGAGCGGAGCACACGGCAUCGAGCCCGAGCUGCUGAGCUCCCAUCCCCGCUCCUGACGCUCCGCGACGGGCUCGGAUCCGCGGGCCGGAAUGAGCUGGGCAGGUGGGACGCCGCUUUGAUCCGCGCUUGGGGCGCUCGGGACCGCAGGAGAAGUGCCACCGGCAGCUGUCAUUGGUUUGGCCAUUUGUAUGGCAUUUGUGUCUGAGUUCGGCCUUAUUUGGCUGUGCCAUAUCUGGGAGCAUAAAAACUAUUUUUCAUGAAGUUAUUAUUAGAAUUGGCAACUGUCCCAUUGUUGGUGUCCACACAUUUGCGUUCACAAGUACACACUUCGCCUGUUUGUACCUGACAUGAAACACAGCUUUGCAUCUCACAGGUGAUGGAGUAACUAAUCCUGGAAACCAUUCCAAACAAGUGGAGAAGUCAAUUGGGAGUAAUGAUUACCUACCUAAUGCCCGUGACAGGGCAGCCAAACGGAUGGAUAUGGAGCAAUGGAUGAUGUCUACCCCAGCUUUACCCAAGCCUUUGAGACAAUCUCCUACAGCAUCCCUAAACACAAACUGCCAAAACGCCCAGUGAGGAAGGCUGAAAAAUGGAUGAGGCACAAAGUAGAGCUGGAGCCACCCCGGGCACUUCAGGGCCCAGCGCUCCCGCUGGCAGUACAGCCUGUGCAGCAUAGACAGCCUCCAGCUCAUCACAGAAUGCACCUGGGGAGGAGGAAUGGCCACCAGCAAAUCUAGGCUUUGCCGUAGAGAAAAGGAUUCGGGAGAUCCGGAGGUCUCUGUCUGAAAGAUCUCCCUCUGCUCAGGGCAAUGUUGGUGUUGCCCCUGAUUCUUCAGGAGGGGAGCCUGUGGACAGAGCUGCAGCAGAGGAAGCUUCAUCUGGCACCAAGAGCUGCAGGAACAGUUCCCAGGAGCCCGAGGAGCCUGAUGCCAUCUGACCAACAUCUCCAGGAGGGCUGCCCUGCAUGGCAGGAAGAGACAGGGGAGAGCCUGUGACCAUCGGGCAGGUAGAACUCCUCUGUUUGUAGAUAUGUUUAUAGAUUUCUAUGGUUC